UAUGUGCCAGCAGCCGCGGUAAUACAUAGGGUGCAAGCGUUAUCCGGAAUUAUUGGGCGUAAAGGGUUCGUAGGUGGUUUGUUAAGUCUGAUGUUAAAUACUGAAGCUCAACUUCAGCUCGCAUUAGAUACUGACAUACUAGAGUCAUGUAGGGGUUAGCGGAACUCCCUGUGGAGGGGUGAAAUUCGUAGAUAUAGGGAAGAACACCAAUAGCGAAGGCAGCUAACUGGGCAUGUACUGACACUGAGGGACGAAAGCGUGGGGAGCAAACAGGAUUAGAUACCCUGGUAGUCCACGCUGUAAACGAUGCUUGCUUGCUGGUGGCGAAGUCACUAGCGAUAGCUAACGCGUUAAGCAAGCCGCCUGAGGAAUAUGCUCGCAAGAGUGAAACUUAAAGGAAUUGACGGGGACCCGCACAAGCGGUGGAGCAUGUGGUUUAAUUCGAAGUCACACGUAAAACCUUACCCACUCUUGACAUAAUUGGCAAAGCUAUAGAGAUAUAGUGGAGGUUACCCAAUUACAGAUGGUGCAUGGUCGUCGUCAGCUCGUGUCGUGAGAUGUGAUGUUAAGUCAUCGAACGAGCGCAACCCCUGUCUUUAGUUGCUAAUUAUAGGACUCUAAAGAAACUGCCAAGGUAACUUGGAGGAAGGUGGGGAUGACGUCAGAUCAUCAUGCCUCUUACGAGUGGGGCCACACACGUGCUACAAUGGGAACUACAAAGAGAAGCAACACAGCAAUGUUGAGCAAACCUGAAAAAGUUCUCUCAGUUCGGAUUGGAGUCUGCAACUCGACUCCAUGAAGUCGGAAUCGCUAGUAAUCGUAGGUCAGCUAUACUACGGUGAAUACGUUCUCGGGUCUUGUACACACCGCCCGUCACACCAGCGGGAGUUGGUAAUACCCAAAGU
RNAcentral lists this ribosomal RNA (905 nucleotides) under uncultured bacterium. Its description in RNAcentral is "bacterial SSU rRNA". It matches the Rfam family "Bacterial small subunit ribosomal RNA", at positions 502 to 1427 of the family's 1533-position model. The record is from RNAcentral.